Molecule: non-coding RNA, 24 nt
Filed under: Arabidopsis thaliana (thale cress)
Lineage: Eukaryota; Viridiplantae; Streptophyta; Magnoliopsida; Brassicales; Brassicaceae
Source: RNAcentral
AUCCUUUGAUGUGUUACUAUACCU